This 447-nucleotide ribosomal RNA is filed under the name uncultured bacterium. RNAcentral's name for it is "bacterial SSU rRNA". It matches the Rfam family "Bacterial small subunit ribosomal RNA", at positions 26 to 507 of the family's 1533-position model. The record is from RNAcentral.
AGGAUGAACGCUGGCGGUUAUGCCUAACACAUGCAAGUCGUACGAGAGUUUUUUAACUCUAGUGGCGGACGGGUGAGUAACACGUGAGAAUUUGCCUUUUAGGAGGGGGAUAACAAUUGGAAACGAAUGCUAAUACCCCAUAUGCUUUUUGAGUGAAAUGGAUUUUAUCCGCCUAGAGAGAAGCUCGCGGCUGAUUAGCUUGUUGGUAAGGUAAGAGCUUACCAAGGCGACGAUCAGUAUCUGGUUUGAGAGGACGAUCAGACACACUGGAACUGAGACACGGUCCAGACUCCUACGGGAGGCAGCAGUGGGGAAUUUUCCGCAAUGGGCGAAAGCCUGACGGAGCAAUACCGCGUGAGGGAAGAAUGCCUAUGGGUUGUAAACCUCUUUUUUCAGGGAGGAACAAAAUGACGUGUACCUGAAGAAUAAGCAUCGGCUAACUCCGUG